Long non-coding RNA from Tachysurus vachellii, 4402 nucleotides. RefSeq lists it as uncharacterized. Lineage: Eukaryota; Metazoa; Chordata; Actinopteri; Siluriformes; Bagridae. The record is from RefSeq and is a predicted model, not a curated record. The transcript has 5 exons.
UUUGAUGUUUCAGAAAUAUUCACAAAUUUCCAGAAAUGUCUGGAGUUUAAUUAAAUAAUGACAGCCUGGCUGUUUGGAUAUGGUCUGUAUAGACGGGGUAAACAAAUCCACAUGUUUAAAUGUUUUUAUAUACACAAUUUUUACACUGUACCUUAUUUGAUAUCAAGAGGAGAACUUGGCAGAUGGCAGAUUGGCUGGCAAAUUGUGAACACUGGAAGAAAAAGAAGAAAAGAUAAGUUUAGACAUACAUUUGUAAACACGUUGAUCAAAUUCAGCAUGUUAUAAAUCCAGUAUUAUACAAAUAUAAUUCUCAAACACGAGACACCGGUACCGAACUGGAUAUUUUCUCACCGAGGCAGGGUGCUUCAGGUUCCUUCAGUCCUUGGGGUUGCCUGUUAUAUAGCAGCAUUACCGUUCACUCAGCAGAAUUUUCUAGCUAUAUAUGGUCACAUAGCAUUACUUAAUGUAUGUUUGUGUUAUAUAUAACACUAUUAAGGACUUGUCUUGAUGUCACACAAGUGCAAGUGCUGGUGUUUCUUAGGAAGAUUCCUUCAAAAUCUAUGUUUGUUUUUUUUAACUAUAUUAACAUCUAAGCAUUUCUUUUGCAAAGUUAUUCACUUAUGCAGAGUUAAAUGCCUAUUAAAAUGUGUGUAAAUAUUCAGACACACUGUCUAUUGAGUAUCCUGUAAAUAUUCUUUAAAUACAUAUUUAUACUACUCUUAAAUUAAUAAAAUUUUUGUAGCCUUUUUUUCUGCUCUGUAUUUUAUAAAAGUUUAUGAACUUAAUUUUUUUUUUAGUGCUUCCCAUCUCUUCACUCAAAUGAAAUCGGAUGUGGAGGAAAAACUCUGUACCCACUGGUGUUCAGUUUCAGAUUUUCUGAAAAUACAUACAAUUUCAUUUGAGUGAAGAGAUGGGAAGAACUGACCCAAAUAAAAUGGAAUUGAACAGCACAUUGACUUUUUUUUAAUAAUAAUUAUUUAUGAUAAAAUCUCUUGAGAUGCAUGACAUUCAUUUAAAGAUGCAGAUACUGACAUGACUUGGAUACAUGAUAAGAUUUACUGGAUCUAACAUCUAGCGCUCUUUAGUGCCAGCAGAGUAUCAAAUUAAAAUGGAACAAAUUUAUAGUCUAAGAUUGAUUACUAGUAGCUGACCGUAAGAAAGAUAAUAUGUUUUGGCAAUUUUACAAGCAAGUGAAAUUUAGAAGUUAUAAGUUGGAUUUGUCAAAAUGAAAUGCUGAAUCUGAAUUAUUACAAUUAGAAUGUUUCUAUUAGGAUUAAAUGCAAAUAUAGAAACAAGCUACUGUAGCUGUCUGGUUUGGGCCUCAAAAAUGUUGUAGUGCAGUAUAUUUAAGUGCUUAAUGAGAUUAAACAUAAGACAUAGUUGCUGUCAUCUGCGAAGUGUCUCCUUGUUUAUUUUAAUCAAGUAUUAAAAUGUGAAAGUCUUUAUGUAAGUUUAUGUAAAUCCUUAAGUACUACAUUUUUGCAUAAAUUCACAUUACAUUAAAAAAAAUGCAUUGAUCUUAGUCCCAGUUCCAGACAGUUUACACAUGUUGGCAUUUACAAUCAAUAUAUUCAUUAUUCUGAUGUGAUUAUUUGAUAGAAAAUAAAGCGACAACACAUGCCAGGUCUCCCAAUUCCCCUGAGAGAGAAGGAACUUUUAUUGUUUGCAUGACAUUUUAAUUUUGUGUUAGCAAAAAUCAUUCAAGUAUUUCUACUCUGCAAAUGUUCUGGAAAUGACACGUCUCCAAUUAUGGUGCUGUGUUAUAUGUUCACACUGACUAUUUCUGAAGGCUUUGAAUUUGCAAGUGUGCAUCUCAGUCGUUGUGCUUAUAGUGGGAUGUUUUUCCAUUCUUACCUGAAGUUCACUGAGACUUAAUUUUAGACAUUUGUAGUGCUUUCCAGUUGCAAACUGUUUGAAUAUCUGUGUGAAUAUAUGUGUGAAUGUGUGGUUCAUACUUUGAAUGUGAGAAAAACAGGAAUUGUCGAAUAAUCUCCAUUGUGUAGCGAGUGCAGUGCGUCAUUCCCUGGCCUGGUUUAUCAGUUUUGCUUUAAAAGUGAACAGUUUUUAAGACGUCACAAGUCCCGUUCAUUAUUCUUUGCUCUUUGGAAAUUCUAAAAUCUGAUUUUAAUUUGUAUUUAUUGCUAAUGAGCAAGCCAGACACAGUGUGAGGGAAAAACUCCCUAAGAACAGGAGCCAAAUUCGGAAGGAAACUCAUCAUCUCAUUGACACUAGAGUGUGUGAGUGUCAGUUAUUUUCUUUUUGUACAGUAUCUGUUCACUAUAUUGUCAUGUGCAGUUGUAUAACUAGAAGCUUUUGAGCAAUUUAUGAGAAUGAGCAUCAGCAUCAGUUUAAUAAAGAAGUACAAUCAGAGUAAAUCUAUACUCAGCAUGGAUUUGAUGACCCUCAGACCAUCAGUUCAGAGCUUCCUCAAGAACAGUGUGUGUUACUGAUUUCUUGUUUUCCACUUUACCUUUGUCUUCUUUGCCUUCUCUAGCUCAUGGAUGGUCUUUCCAUUCUGCUUUUUCUUUCCUUAUGGGACGUUCUCCUAGGGAGCACUCAUCCUGUAAGGCCAUAUGAUUAUUAUAAAAUAAAGACAAAAAUAAUUGAUAUUACCAAUUUCAAAUACAAAAUAUGCACAGCUGGCCUCGGAGUGGCAUUAUUAGAGUUUCUAUCUUUUCACCAUCUUUUCCUUAAGUUCUUUAUUCUUGGCCAGUGCUUUUGCCUUCAUUGUUUUCAUUGCAGCCAUUUCCUUCUCUUGAGAAGGGGCUUGAUCAUGAAUUUGAGAUUUAUCCAUGUUUCACAUUUAUGAAUUAGCAGAUAUGACCAGUAUACAGGAAGGCCAGCUGUUUGCUGUACAGCCGAGUCUGUAGGUGUCAGUAGAUUAUCAAUAGUCCAACAUCAAUCUGUCAAUAUAUACUACAGUUAAUGUGUUACUUUUGUACUGUAUUGUAAGAAGGACACAGUUCCUAAUGAUGUUAACAGGAUUUUUCUGACAUUCAAAUUGUCAAAAAAUGUUUUUGGUAAAAAAUAGUUUGAGAGUAUAGUCAAAGAAACUGUGAACAGAUCAAUUAUGUAGUUUAUAAUAUGUGGCGUUAUGAUAGUAAAUGACUUGAUCACAGUAUUUCAGAUGGUAACUUGUCAUUUUAAUGUCACAUUUAUUUCAGUGCUGUAGUAACUAUCCAAACCAUUUGGCUCAAUAUAAAUCUAAUGAACUACUUUUCAUUUUUAGAGCUUAGCUUGGUGAUAGACUUACUUGGCAAUGGAGGAGCUGUGAAAUGCUGCUGGUAUUCAGUGUCAUGGAAUUUGCCAGUCAGACAUUUUUAUUAAUACGGUCAGAUGGUCACUUUUAAUUCAUGUACUGAGCCUUAGUCAAGGAUUAAUAUUAUUUUUCACUCAAUGCCUCUGUUUCAGUAUACGGUCAAAAUUUAACCAAGGAAAAUAAAUUAACCGUCAUCUUUAAAGGAACAGCGUGUAUUAGGUUGCUUUUGUUAUUGAGAGUAUGUUCUGUACUGUCGCCUAAGCAUGGCUCCAACUAUGGUUAGAAAAUCUGCAGUACAAAUAGCAUCUAAUAAGAGAGGUGGCUCGUAUGACUUCCUGGAGUGAAACCAUGGAUUAGCCCUGGGGGAGAGCUCAGAUGCCACUGGUAUACUGUUGCAUGGUUCUCGCAAGUGAAGCAUUUUUAUUAAUAAAUCGCAUGAAAGCAAACAGCUUUUCAGUCUCCAAAGCCUGAGGGUGGUGUUGACAGGUGGCUGCUCAUAUAUCCUACAGUACAUAAAUGUGUUCUAUAAUGCUCAACUGGCUUGGCAGAUCUGAGGUUGGGCUCACAGAAAACUCUAUUUGUUUUUCUUUCCUCUCUUUACAGGUAAUGAUUAUUUCAAGGGUCUGAAGGAGUGUGCUGUUUCAGCUCUCCGUCACCCACCAGCUGAAUCAUGUCAGAGCCCAAAAUGAACAGCUUUACAAUAAAUAAAGCGUUCGCUCGUCGGGUCUCACCAGUUACUCUUCCACGUGUGACGGACGUCAGGGUCGUGGAUGCCAUGUUUGUCCGCCUGCUCGUCCAGGAAGUCGAACAUAUAUUUGAUGGCGAGCGGGAGCGCGCUGCCACGAUUGGCCGUGCUGAAGAGCGUCUCGAACAGAUCAUCUACAAACUUCUGCAACGUGCCCUGCAGAAACAUAUAUAUAACCGGUCCAAAAGAUCAGACACUCACCGUAUCGGCUGAAGCUCCGAGGAAAGCUGGCUGACGUUGAGAUGUUGUAAGAGGACGUCUGCUUAGCUCUCGGAGCACCGGGUGGUCGUCCAUGCCUGGAAACAGGAUCCUCAUGAUAUAGGUGCGGUAAUCCAGGUGUGGGAUUCCAGCCCGGUCCAGAUCACUCGUCAGCUCGUUUAUGUCUGUCUGGAGCUCUG